This 495-nucleotide ribosomal RNA is filed under the name uncultured bacterium. RNAcentral describes it as "partial 16S ribosomal RNA". It matches the Rfam family "Bacterial small subunit ribosomal RNA", at positions 30 to 507 of the family's 1533-position model. The record is from RNAcentral.
UGACCGCUGGCGGCGUGCCUAAUACAUGCAAGUCGAGCGAACAGAUGAGGAGCUUGCUCCUCUGACGUUAGCGGCGGACGGGUGAGUAACACGUGGAUAACCUACCUAUAAGACUGGGAUAACUUCGGGAAACCGGAGCUAAUACCGGAUAAUAUAUUGAACCGCAUGGUUCAAUAGUGAAAGACGGUUUUGCUGUCACUUAUAGAUGGAUCCGCGCCGCAUUAGCUAGUUGGUAAGGUAACGGCUUACCAAGGCAACGAUGCGUAGCCGACCUGAGAGGGGGGUGGGCCACAUGGGAAUGGAAACACGGCCAAGACCCCUAGGGGGGGCGGGAGGGGGAAUGCUUCCGAAAGGGGGGAAAGCCUGAGGGAGAAGCGCCGGGGGGGUAAUGAAGUUUUUGGGAUCGAAAAACUCUGUUAUUGGGAAAAAAAAAUUGUGUAAGAAAAUAUGCACUUCUGGAGGUUACCUAAUCAAAAGGCCAGGGCUAACUCCGUG